CUUGACCGAGCCGAGCCACAGCGGCCGGUCCCGGUCCGCGCCGUAGGUGGCCUGCAGCGCCCGGGCCUC
Molecule: antisense RNA, 69 nt
Filed under: Actinophytocola xanthii
Lineage: Bacteria; Bacillati; Actinomycetota; Actinomycetes; Pseudonocardiales; Pseudonocardiaceae
Description: ASpks TB sRNA
Rfam family: ASpks TB sRNA
Source: Rfam by way of RNAcentral